RNAcentral lists this ribosomal RNA (398 nucleotides) under uncultured bacterium. RNAcentral describes it as "bacterial SSU rRNA". It matches the Rfam family "Bacterial small subunit ribosomal RNA", at positions 358 to 773 of the family's 1533-position model. The record is from RNAcentral.
GGAAUAUUGCCCAAUGGGGGAAACCCUGAGGCAGCAACGCCGCGUGGACGAAGACGGCCUUCGGGUUGUAAAGUCCUUUUCUGGGGGAAGAUAAUGACGGUAACCCAGGAAUAAGUUCCGGCUAACUACGUGCCCGCAGCCGCGGUAAAACGUAGGGGACAAGCGUUAUCCGGAUUUAAUGGGCGUAAAGCGCACGUAGGCGGUGCGGUAAGUUGGCCGUGAAAGCUCCCGGCUUAACUGGGAGAGGUCGGACAAAACUGCCGUGCUUGAGGCUGAGAGAGGAGAGCGGAAUUCCCGGUGUAGUGGUGGAAUGCGUAGAUAUCGGGAGGAACACCAGUGGCGAAGGCGGCUCUCUGGCUCAGAACUGACGCUGAGGUGCGAAAGCGUGGGGAGCGAAC